RNAcentral lists this ribosomal RNA (521 nucleotides) under uncultured bacterium. RNAcentral's name for it is "bacterial SSU rRNA". It matches the Rfam family "Archaeal small subunit ribosomal RNA", at positions 345 to 866 of the family's 1478-position model. The record is from RNAcentral.
AACCUCCGCAAUGUGAGAAAUCGCGACGGGGGGAUCCCAAGUGCCAUUCUUAACGGGAUGGCUUUUCUUAAGUGUAAAAAGCUUUUGGAAUAAGAGCUGGGCAAGACCGGCGCCAGCCGCCGCGGUAACACCGGCAGCUCUAGUGGUAGCAAUUUUUAUUGGGCCUAAAGCGUCCGUAGCCGGUUUAAUAAGUCUCUGGUGAAAUCCUGUAGCUUAACUGUGGGAAUUGCUGGAGAUACUAUUAGACUUGAGACCGGGAGAGGUUAGAGGUACUCCCAGGGUAGAGGUGAAAUUCUGUAAUCCUGGGAGGACCGCCUGUUGCGAAGGCGUCUAACUGGAACGGUUCUGACGGUGAGGGACGAAAGUUAGGGGCGCGAACCGGAUUAGAUACCCGGGUAGUCCUAACUGUAAACGAUGCGGACUUGGUGUUGGGGUGGCUUUGAGCUGCUCCAGUGCCGAAGGGAAGCUGUUAAGUCCGCCGCCUGGGAAGUACGGUCGCAAGACUGAAACUUAAAGGAAGU